AUCGCUUCUUGGCCUUUUGGCUAAGAUCAAGUGUAGUAUCUGUUCUUAUCAGUUUAAGAAAAUACAAAAGUUAGCUGGGCGUGGUGGCAUGUGCUUGUAAUCCCAGCUACUUGGGAGGCUGAGGCAGGAGAAUUGCUU
Molecule: small nuclear RNA, 138 nt
Organism: Macaca fascicularis (crab-eating macaque)
Lineage: Eukaryota; Metazoa; Chordata; Mammalia; Primates; Cercopithecidae
Gene: U2
Rfam family: U2 spliceosomal RNA
About the family: U2 is a small nuclear RNA (snRNA) component of the spliceosome (involved in pre-mRNA splicing).
Source: Ensembl